AGCGCUGGUUGGUGCGUUUGGUAACCCCCAAGCCGUUGGCCCUUAUGUGCACGAAGUGGAACGAUACCGAGCGCUGGUUCGUGCGUAUGCUAUCUACCGAGCUGUCAGCCGUUACAUGCAUGGAGUGGAACGGGACCAAGGGCUUCUGCGUCUUCCGGGAAUUAUGAGAAUAAUCAACGCCUUUGUCCGAGCGGAGCAACAAAACCAAAAA
Ixodes scapularis (black-legged tick) is the source of this 211-nucleotide long non-coding RNA. RefSeq lists it as uncharacterized. The transcript has 3 exons. NCBI's taxonomy places the organism in Eukaryota, Metazoa, Arthropoda, Arachnida, Ixodida, Ixodidae. The record is from RefSeq and is a predicted model, not a curated record.